UACGUAGGGUGCGAGCGUUAAUCGGAAUUACUGGGCGUAAAGCGUGCGCAGGCGGCUUUGCAAGACAGAUGUGAAAUCCCCGGGCUUAACCUGGGAACUGCAUUUGUGACUGCAUGGCUGGAGUGCGGCAGAGGGGGAUGGAAUUCCGCGUGUAGCAGUGAAAUGCGUAGAUAUGCGGAGGAACACCGAUGGCGAAGGCAAUCCCCUGGGCCUGCACUGACGCUCAUGCACGAAAGCGUGGGGAGCAUACAGG
This 253-nucleotide ribosomal RNA is filed under the name uncultured bacterium. Its description in RNAcentral is "partial 16S ribosomal RNA". It matches the Rfam family "Bacterial small subunit ribosomal RNA", at positions 524 to 776 of the family's 1533-position model. The record is from RNAcentral.